CGGCUUACCAAGGCAACGAUGCGUAGCCGACCUGAGAGGGUGAUCGGCCACACUGGAACUGAGACACGGUCCAGACUCCUACGGGAGGCAGCAGUAGGGAAUCUUCCGCAAUGGGCGAAAGCCUGACGGAGCAACGCCGCGUGAGUGAUGAAGGUCUUCGGAUCGUAAAACUCUGUUAUUGGGGAAGAACAAAUGUGUAAGUAACUAUGCACGUCUUGACGGUACCUAAUUAGAAAGCCACGGCUAACUACGUGCCAGCAGCCGCGGUAAUACGUAGGUGGCAAGCGUUAUCCGGAAUUAUUGGGCGUAAAGCGCGCGUAGGCGGUUUUUUAAGUCUGAUGUGAAAGCCCACGGCUCAACCGUGGAGGGUCAUUGGAAACUGGAAAACUUGAGUGCAGAAGAGGAAAGUGGAAUUCCAUGUGUAGCGGUGAAAUGCGCAGAGAUAUGGAGGACACCAGUGGCGAAGGCGACUUU
RNAcentral lists this ribosomal RNA (474 nucleotides) under uncultured Staphylococcus sp. Its description in RNAcentral is "bacterial SSU rRNA". It matches the Rfam family "Bacterial small subunit ribosomal RNA", at positions 261 to 728 of the family's 1533-position model. The record is from RNAcentral. Lineage: Bacteria; Bacillati; Bacillota; Bacilli; Caryophanales; Staphylococcaceae.